CCUACGGGUGGCAGCAGUGAGGAAUAUUGGUCAAUGGACGAGAGUCUGAACCAGCCAAGUAGCGUGAAGGAUGACUGCCCUAUGGGUUGUAAACUUCUUUUAUAUGGGAAUAAAAUGUUCCACGUGUGGGAUUUUGUAUGUACCAUAUGAAUAAGGAUCGGCUAACUCCGUGCCAGCAGCCGCGGUAAUACGGAGGAUCCGAGCGUUAUCCGGAUUUAUUGGGUUUAAAGGGAGCGUAGGUGGAUUGUUAAGUCAGUUGUGAAAGUUUGGGGCUCAACCGUAAAAUUGCAGUUGAAACUGGCAGUCUUGAGUACAGUAGAGGUAGGCGGAAUUCGUGGUGUAGCGGUGAAAUGCUUAGAUAUCACGCAGAACUCCGAUUGCGAAGGCAGUUCACUGGACUGCAACUGACACUGAGGCUCGAAAGUGUGGGUAUCAAACAGGAUUAGAUACCCGAGUAGUC
This 460-nucleotide ribosomal RNA is filed under the name uncultured bacterium. Its description in RNAcentral is "partial 16S ribosomal RNA". It matches the Rfam family "Bacterial small subunit ribosomal RNA", at positions 338 to 795 of the family's 1533-position model. The record is from RNAcentral.